AGUUUUAGUUCUCAGUCUCAUUUUUGGAAGAUACUCCUUAGGUCUUUGAGGAUUAAACUUAGAACAUGGCUUGCACAAUGAUCUCUGAAGACCUAUGUAUACGUGCCCCGUAGAGUUGAAGAUGCAGGUGCUUGUGUCACCCUGGCUGAAAAGGAGUGCAAUCCCCAGACUCCUUCCUGCUCACAGCAGGCUCAGCUGUGAACUCAGGCAAGGUCACUCAGCAUUUAUCCGGGUGGAUCUUGAAAACCUCCAAGGACAGGGACUGCACAGCAUCUCUGGGUGAAUCUUGAAAACCUCCAAGGACAGGGACUGCACAGCAUCUCUGGGUGAACUGAUCUACUGUCUGACUGCUUGUGGGAUGAGAAAAGAAUUCUGUAACCUCAGUCUGAAGCCUUCAUUCCAGCUCUUGCCCAGUGAACUCCUGCCGAGCUCCACUGACAAGAGCCUAGCUCUGUCACCUUGUCUCUGCCACAGGUUUAACUAGCACCAGUUCUUAAAUAGAUCAACCUUAGCAACUGCUCAUGCACUUGAGUUCCUUAGUGGGACAGGAAACAUUCAAUAAGAAAAAUCAUGGUUCGAGAUAAAGACACAGAGAUGGUGUACCAGUUACUGUCACAAGGAAAACAGACUAGACAUGGUGCAAGAGAGAUAUGAAGCUCCUGGAACAAGUUCACUGAAGGGCUACUAAAAUCCUGAAGUGACUGGAGUAUCUCCUUCAUGAGGAAAGGAACCUGUUUAGCUUGAAGAAAAGAAUGCUUAGGAGGAUCUCAUCCAUAUGUAUAAAUACCUGAAGAGAGAGUGCAGUGAAGAUGGACCCAGGGUCUUUUCAGUGGUGCCCAGUGACAGGACAACAUCACAGACACAGACUAGCAGACAGCAAGUUUCCUCUGAACAUCAAGCAGUGCUUCUUUACUGUAUGGGUGACAGAGCAGUGGAACAGGUUGCCCAGAAAGGUUAUGGAUUUUCCUUCCUUGGAGAUAUUCAAAAUCUGGCUGGACAUGGUUCUAAACAACCUGCUCUGGAUGCCCCUACUUGAGCAGGAGGAUGGGAUUAGAUGACCUCUAGAGGCGUCCUCCAACCUCAACCAUUCUGUGAUCCUGUGAACAUAAUUACUGGAUAACAGCAGCUCUGAAAAGUAUUUGGAGAAAGGAGUCAUGUGGUCCCAAGGAAAAUAAAAUGGUCAGUUAAUUCCAGAUUUCUUUUUUAUUGUCAGUGGAGUCCAAAUUCAAAACAGCUAUUGAAAGAGAAUCACAGCAUAUUGCAUAGCUUAAUUAUAUAGUAGGGUAAGAAAGAUGGGUUUGGAAGGCCAGAUAAAUUUCUUCAAACAAAUGAACAAGCCAAAAUUUAUCUGAAUAUCCAUAUAAAAGAUGUAGUCUUUCCAAAUGAAAAUGGACACAUCAAUGGACUAACAAAAAUAACUGUGCAUGUUCACAGGUAGAAUGAGCAGACGCAUGCUGCCUUGUGGUGAGAAGCUUAUCUCAAGUUAUUACACAGGAGCAUAAAAUACAUGCAUGUAUAUGUAACUUUUGAAAAAGAUAUCUGUAAAGUGACAUAGAGAACCUGACUACUGUUUUCUGAGAUAGAAAUGCUUUCAGUGCUGGCUCCUCUUGUAAUUUUUUUGUGAUACAGUUUUUCUUUCAACUACCUGAAAACAUUAAUAAAGGCCACACUUCAU
This is a long non-coding RNA of Gallus gallus (chicken), 1675 nucleotides long. NCBI's taxonomy places the organism in Eukaryota, Metazoa, Chordata, Aves, Galliformes, Phasianidae. The record is from Ensembl.